Molecule: ribosomal RNA, 461 nt
Filed under: uncultured bacterium
Lineage: Bacteria
Description: bacterial SSU rRNA
Rfam family: Bacterial small subunit ribosomal RNA
Source: RNAcentral
AUUGAACGCUGGCGGAAUGCUUUACACAUGCAAGUCGAACGGCAGCACGGGAGCUUGCUCCUGGUGGCGAGUGGCGAACGGGUGAGUAAUGCGUCGGAACGUACCGAGUAAUGGGGGAUAACGCACCGAAAGGUGUGCUAAUACCGCAUACGCCCUGAGGGGGAAAGCAGGGGAUCGCAAGACCUUGCGUUAUUCGAGCGGCCGACGUCUGAUUAGCUAGUUGGUGGGUAAAGCCUACCAAGGCGACGAUCAGUAGCGGGUCUGAGAGGAUGAUCCGCCACACUGGAACUGAGACACGGUCCAGACUCCUACGGGAGGCAGCAGUGGGGAAUUUUUGGACAAUGGGGGAAACCCUGAUCCAGCCAUUCCGCGUGAGUGGAGAAGGGCCUUCGGGUUGUAAAGCUCUUUUCAGCUGGAACGAAACGGUACGCUCUAACAUAGCGUGCUAAUGACGGUACCAG